Molecule: ribosomal RNA, 467 nt
Filed under: uncultured bacterium
Lineage: Bacteria
Description: bacterial SSU rRNA
Rfam family: Bacterial small subunit ribosomal RNA
Source: RNAcentral
AAUCAACGCUGGCGGCGUGCCUCAGACAUGCAAGUCGAACGAUUAAAGCUCUCUUCGGAGAGUGUAUAGAGUGGCGCACGGGUGAGUAACACGUAAGUAAUCUACCCUCGAGUGGGGAAUAACGUCCGGAAACGGACGCUAAUACCGCAUAAUGCAGCGGCACCGCAAGGUGACAGUUGUUAAAGGAGAAAUUCGCUUGAGGAGGAGCUUGCGGCAGAUUAGCUUGUUGGUAAGGUAACGGCUUACCAAGGCUACGAUCUGUAACCGGUCUUAGAGGACGGUCGGUCACACUGACACUGAAUAACGGGUCAGACUCCUACGGGAGGCAGCAGUCGGGAAUUUUGGGCAAUGGGCGAAAGCCUGACCCAGCAACGCCGCGUGAAGGAUGAAGUAUUUCGGUAUGUAAACUUCGAAAGAAUAGGAAGAAUAAAUGACGGUACUAUUUAUAAGGUCCGGCUAACUACGUG